This 502-nucleotide ribosomal RNA is filed under the name uncultured bacterium. RNAcentral describes it as "bacterial SSU rRNA". It matches the Rfam family "Bacterial small subunit ribosomal RNA", at positions 28 to 517 of the family's 1533-position model. The record is from RNAcentral.
GAUGAACGCUAGCUACAGGCUUAACACAUGCAAGUCGAGGGGAAACGAUAUUGGAAGCUUGCUUCCGAUAGGCGUCGACCGGCGCACGGGUGAGUAACGCGUAUCCAACCUGCCCAUCACUUGGGGAUAACCUUGCGAAAGUAAGACUAAUACCCAAUGACGUCUCUAGAAGACAUCUGAAGGAGAUUAAAGAUUUAUCGGUGAUGGAUGGGGAUGCGUCUGAUUAGCUUGUUGGCGGGGUAACGGCCCACCAAGGCGACGAUCAGUAGGGGUUCUGAGAGGAAGGUCCCCCACAUUGGAACUGAGACACGGUCCAAACUCCUACGGGAGGCAGCAGUGAGGAAUAUUGGUCAAUGGACGAGAGUCUGAACCAGCCAAGUAGCGUGCAGGAUGACGGCCCUAUGGGUUGUAAACUGCUUUUAUAAGGGAAUAAAGUGAGUCUCGUGAGGCUUUUUGCAUGUACCUUAUGAAUAAGGACCGGCUAAUUCCGUGCCAGCAGCCG